RNAcentral lists this non-coding RNA (32 nucleotides) under Chlorobaculum tepidum TLS. RNAcentral also lists the same sequence under 1 other name. The record is from RNAcentral. Lineage: Bacteria; Pseudomonadati; Chlorobiota; Chlorobiia; Chlorobiales; Chlorobiaceae.
GGGGCGAUACCGAAAAGCCUUACGAGUAGGAA